UACGUAGGCAGCGAGCGUUGUUCGGAGUUACUGGGCGUAAAGGGUGUGUAGGCGGUUCUUUAAGUUUGGUGUGAAAUCUCCCGGCUCAACCGGGAGGGUGCGCCGAAUACUGAGGGACUCGAGUGCGGGAGAGGAAAGUGGAAUUCCUGGUGUAGCGGUGAAAUGCGUAGAUAUCGGUAGGAACACCAGUGGCGAAGGCGGUCUCCUGGGGCAUUCUUGACGCUGAGGCGCGAAAGCUGGGGGAGCAAACGGG
This 253-nucleotide ribosomal RNA is filed under the name uncultured bacterium. RNAcentral's name for it is "partial 16S ribosomal RNA". It matches the Rfam family "Bacterial small subunit ribosomal RNA", at positions 524 to 776 of the family's 1533-position model. The record is from RNAcentral.